CUGGAGGUAUCAGAAGUGCGAAUGCUGACAUAAGUAACGAUAAAGCGGGUGAAAAGCCCGCUCGCCGGAAGACCAAGGGUUCCUGUCCAACGUUAAUCGGGGCAGGGUGAGUCGACCCCUAAGGCGAGGCCGAAAGGCGUAGUCGAUGGGAAACGGGUUAAUAUUCCCGUACUUGGUGUUACUGCGAAGGGGGGACGGAGAAGGCUAUGUUGGCCGGGCGACGGUUGUCCCGGUUUAAGCGUGUAGGUGUGUGUUCCAGGUAAAUCCGGUUCACUUUAACACUGAGGCGUGAUGACGAGGCACUACGGUGCUGAAGCAACAAAUGCCCUGCUUCCAGGAAAAGCCUCUAAGCAUCAGGUAACAUCAAAUCGUACCCCAAACCGACACAGGUGGUCAGGUAGAGAAUACCAAGGCGCUUGAGAGAACUCGGGUGAAGGAACUAGGCAAAAUGGUGCCGUAACUUCGGGAGAAGGCACGCUGAUAUGUAGGUGAAGCGGUUUACCCGUGGAGCUGAAAUCAGUCGAAGAUACCAGCUGGCUGCAACUGUUUAUUAAAAACACAGCACUGUGCAAACACGAAAGUGGACGUAUACGGUGUGACGCCUGCCCGGUGCCGGAAGGUUAAUUGAUGGGGUCAGCGCAAGCGAAGCUCCUGAUCGAAGCCCCGGUAAACGGCGGCCGUAACUAUAACGGUCCUAAGGUAGCGAAAUUCCUUGUCGGGUAAGUUCCGACCUGCACGAAUGGCGUAAUGAUGGCCAGGCUGUCUCCACCCGAGACUCAGUGAAAUUGAACUCGCUGUGAAGAUGCAGUGUACCCGCGGCAAGACGGAAAGACCCCGUGAACCUUUACUAUAGCUUGACACUGAACAUUGAGCCUUGAUGUGUAGGAUAGGUGGGAGGCUUUGAAGUGUGGACGCCAGUCUGCAUGGAGCCGACCUUGAAAUACCACCCUUUAAUGUUUGAUGUUCUAACGUGGACCCGUUACCCGGGUUGCGGACAGUGUCUGGUGGGUAGUUUGACUGGGGCGGUCUCCUCCUAAAGAGUAACGGAGGAGCACGAAGGUUGGCUAAUCCUGGUCGGACAUCAGGAGGUUAGUGCAAUGGCAUAAGCCAGCUUGACUGCGAGCGUGACGGCGCGAGCAGGUGCGAAAGCAGGUCAUAGUGAUCCGGUGGUUCUGAAUGGAAGGGCCAUCGCUCAACGGAUAAAAGGUACUCCGGGGAUAACAGGCUGAUACCGCCCAAGAGUUCAUAUCGACGGCGGUGUUUGGCACCUCGAUGUCGGCUCAUCACAUCCUGGGGCUGAAGUAGGUCCCAAGGGUAUGGCUGUUCGCCAUUUAAAGUGGUACGCGAGCUGGGUUUAGAACGUCGUGAGACAGUUCGGUCCCUAUCUGCCGUGGGCGCUGGAGAACUGAGGGGGGCUGCUCCUAGUACGAGAGGACCGGAGUGGACGCAUCACUGGUGUUCGGGUUGUCAUGCCAAUGGCACUGCCCGGUAGCUAAAUGCGGAAGAGA
This 1508-nucleotide ribosomal RNA is filed under the name Salmonella enterica subsp. enterica. RNAcentral describes it as "partial 23S ribosomal RNA". It matches the Rfam family "Bacterial large subunit ribosomal RNA", at positions 1273 to 2764 of the family's 2925-position model. Lineage: Bacteria; Pseudomonadati; Pseudomonadota; Gammaproteobacteria; Enterobacterales; Enterobacteriaceae. The record is from RNAcentral.